Molecule: ribosomal RNA, 253 nt
Filed under: uncultured bacterium
Lineage: Bacteria
Description: partial 16S ribosomal RNA
Rfam family: Bacterial small subunit ribosomal RNA
Source: RNAcentral
UACGUAGGGGGCGAGCGUUGUCCGGAAUCAUUGGGCGUAAAGCGCGUGUAGGCGGCCCGGUAAGUCCGCUGUGAAAACCCAGGGCUUAACCCUGGGCUUGCAGUGGAUACGGGUAGACUAGAGGCAGGUAGGGGAGAAUGGAAUUCCCGGUGUAGCGGUGAAAUGCGCAGAUAUCGGGAGGAACACCGGUGGCGAAGGCGGUUCUCUGGGCCUGACCUGACGCUGAGGAGCGAAAGCGUGGGGAGCGAACAGG